GUGCUGACAGCAUAUGGCAACAUGCUCGAUUGUGUGUCAAGAAUUCAGCAUAGCAAGUUUGUAUGAAGGUCUGGUUAUUAAAUGGGUAGAUAGUUCAAUAGUAAUAUCCUCUAAAACGCUCUGGUGACAAACUUUGCUGCCCUGUUUCCAAUUGUCCACAUGUAGGGGAGAACCUAUUCAAGUAGCUAGCUAACAGCCUUGGAGGCGGGUGAAAGGACAGCAGCCCCAACUGUCAAAGUGAGUCGGCUAUUCUGGAUACAGCAGAUAGCUUGUAACUGGAGAUUCCUCUAAACGAUUGCCUACAGUUAAUUUGUAGGGCACUGCAAGGUUGUGUGACCAGGGCCAUCUGGGACUGCCUCCUGGAGGAAUUCAGGUGUAUGAAGGCUACCUGUGUUCUGCAUAACUUCAUGAGGAUGGACCAGGAGGGGAUCUGCAGCUCGCCUCCGUGUGCCAGAGAAGAAGUCUGCUGCUCUGCAGGAUGUUUCAAGGAUGGGGUCCAACAAUGCAGCAAGAGAGGCAAUCUGUGUGCGGGAGAUCUUCACCUACUUCUUCGAAGAGGGUGCUGUUCCCUGGCAACACCAGACUACACUAUGCAUAACCAAAGGCUCUUUUAUUAAGAGCCAUUCACAUUGCAAUAAAAGUAUUCUUCCAUUUGCUUAGCUAUGUCAACUGCAGUUGAGGGUGCUGUUUAGGUUAUAUCAGCUGUGUCGGUGAACCCCUCCCGCAUCUGAACUGGCUACAUAGAGGGCUCAGCAUGAUCAGAGAUGUUUUGAUGAGAGGAUGCCAACCCCCAGUCCCAUCAUUGCCACCUCACUCGCUCUUAAGAUAACCUUCGGGCCGACUCGAGACACUUAUGUAAUUGUGAUGAACUGAGAGAAUAUUUGGGUAGCACUGAUUCAUUAAUCAUAUGCUGCCUUCUCUGCUCCUAUGUUCUUACCUCUUUCCCUUAGUCUUUUACACCUCUCGCCGCCUCCUCUUUUCUCUGUUUUUAUAAUGCACUGAAGUACAGAUUUCACUUGUAUUUAUAAUCUUACAAUUAUAAUAUUUAUAAUGUAUGUAUUUAUAACACUUGGAUAAUAAACUCCUUUCAAUAAAGUAUUUCACAUUC
This is a long non-coding RNA of Oncorhynchus masou masou (cherry salmon), 1108 nucleotides long. RefSeq lists it as uncharacterized. The transcript has 5 exons. NCBI's taxonomy places the organism in Eukaryota, Metazoa, Chordata, Actinopteri, Salmoniformes, Salmonidae. The record is from RefSeq and is a predicted model, not a curated record.